RNAcentral lists this ribosomal RNA (497 nucleotides) under uncultured bacterium. RNAcentral describes it as "partial 16S ribosomal RNA". It matches the Rfam family "Bacterial small subunit ribosomal RNA", at positions 28 to 507 of the family's 1533-position model. The record is from RNAcentral.
GAUGAACGCUGGCGGCGUGCCUAAUACAUGCAAGUCGAGCGAACAGACGAGGAGCUUGCUCCUCUGACGUUAGCGGCGGACGGGUGAGUAACACGUGGAUAACCUACCUAUAAGACUGGGAUAACUUCGGGAAACCGGAGCUAAUACCGGAUAAUAUAUUGAACCGCAUGGUUCAAUAGUGAAAGACGGUUUUGCUGUCACUUAUAGAUGGAUCCGCGCCGCAUUAGCUAGUUGGUAAGGUAACGGCUUACCCAGGCAACGAUGCGUAGCCGACCUGAGAGGGUGAUCGGCCACACUGGAUCUGAGACACGGUCCAGACUCCUACGGGAGGCAGCAGUAGGGAAUCUUCCGCAAUGGGCGAAAGCCUGACGGAGCAACGCCGCGUGAGUGAUGAAGGUCUUCGGAUCGUAAAACUCUGUUAUUAGGGAAGAACAAAUGUGUAAGUAACUAUGCACGUCUUGACGGUACCUAAUCAGAAAGCCACGGCUAACUACGUG